This is a long non-coding RNA of Bombyx mori (domestic silkworm), 325 nucleotides long. RefSeq lists it as uncharacterized. The transcript has 3 exons. Lineage: Eukaryota; Metazoa; Arthropoda; Insecta; Lepidoptera; Bombycidae. The record is from RefSeq and is a predicted model, not a curated record.
AGUUUUAAAAAGAUUUUUCUUAGACAAGUUCAUUCACCUGUCAUUCAAUGAAGGAAAUAACUCCAUCUUACACAAUAGAAUAAUACUAGUGGUCCCGCAGUAGUCGAAAUUCGACUAUAAUUAAUUGGAAUUACGUCAAGAACAAAAGUUUGACAAUAAAUAGUAUCUAUGCGUGUGUGCGUCAAAUACAUGAAAAUGCAGUUAAAGUCUUUUAUUGUCUGGAGUAUAAGAAUGAAAGGGUAUUGGGUUUAAGCGACAUUUCGUUGAACACGUGACAUUUAACUUGUAAAUAAAAUUGCGUUUUAUUUGGUUUUUGGAUCAACAA